RNAcentral lists this ribosomal RNA (580 nucleotides) under uncultured eukaryote. RNAcentral's name for it is "eukaryotic LSU rRNA". The stretch from base 211 to 364 matches the Rfam family "5.8S ribosomal RNA". The record is from RNAcentral.
CUUGGUCAUUUAGAGGAAGUAAAAGUCGUAACAAGGUCUCCGUUGGUGAACCAGCGGAGGGAUCAUUAUCGAGUUAUUCAACUCCCAAACCCUAUGUGAACUUACCACUUGUUGCUUCGGCGCGCGCUUCGGCGCCGCCGAGGACACUUAAACUCUUUGUUUUUAUAAGCAUUUCUGAGUGGCCGAAAGGCAAAAAUACAAAUGAAUCAAAACUUUCAACAACGGAUCUCUUGGUUCUGGCAUCGAUGAAGAACGCAGCGAAAUGCGAUAAGUAAUGUGAAUUGCAGAAUUCAGUGAAUCAUCGAAUCUUUGAACGCACAUUGCGCCCGCCAGCAUUCUGGCGGGCAUGCCUGUUCGAGCGUCAUUUCAACCCUCGAGCCCGACUCUUUUGAGGACGGCUCGGCGUUGGGGGACGGCAGACUCCCCCCGGCAUCUCGCCGGGGACGCCGCCCCCGAAAUCUAGUGGCGGCCCUCCGAGGCGACCUCUGCGUAGUAACUUGUUCUCGCACCGGAAAGCUCAGAGCGGCCACGCCGUAAAACCCCAACUUUUUUCAGGUUGACCUCGAAUCAGGUAGGACUA